Non-coding RNA from Myotis lucifugus (little brown bat), 74 nucleotides. The record is from Rfam. Lineage: Eukaryota; Metazoa; Chordata; Mammalia; Chiroptera; Vespertilionidae.
GGCAGUUCUCAGGUGAUGCACCCCAGAAUCAGGCUCCCUCCUCUCUGGUUACGGGUGCAUCACUGAGAACCACC